RNAcentral lists this ribosomal RNA (429 nucleotides) under bacterium. Its description in RNAcentral is "partial 16S ribosomal RNA". It matches the Rfam family "Bacterial small subunit ribosomal RNA", at positions 355 to 776 of the family's 1533-position model. The record is from RNAcentral.
UAGGGAAUCUUCGGCAAUGGGGGCAACCCUGACCGAGCAACGCCGCGUGAGUGAAGAAGGUUUUCGGAUCGUAAAGCUCUGUUGUAAGAGAAGAACGUGUGUGAGAGUGGAAAGUUCACACAGUGACGGUAACUUACCAGAAAGGGACGGCUAACUACGUGCCAGCAGCCGCGGUAAUACGUAGGUCCCGAGCGUUGUCCGGAUUUAUUGGGCGUAAAGCGAGCGCAGGCGGUUUAAUAAGGCUGAAGUUAAAGGCAGUGGCUUAACCAUUGUUCGCUUUGGAAACUGUUAAACUUGAGUGCAGAAGGGGAGAGUGGAAUUCCAUGUGUAGCGGUGAAAUGCGUAGAUAUUUGGGGGAACACCGGUGGCGAAAGCGGCUCUCUGGUCUGUAACUGACGCUGAGGCUCGAAAGCGUGGGGAGCAAACAGG